Non-coding RNA from Otolemur garnettii (small-eared galago), 296 nucleotides. The record is from Rfam. NCBI's taxonomy places the organism in Eukaryota, Metazoa, Chordata, Mammalia, Primates, Galagidae.
GCUGGGUGCAGUGGUGCACACCUGUAGUUCCAGCUACUCAGAAGGUUAAAGCAGGAGGAUCACUUGAGCCCAGGGGCUCUGGGAUGUAGUGUGCUAUGCCAAUUGGUUGUCCACACUAAGUUCAAUAAGGUGACCUCCCAGGAAUGGGGAGACCCCUCAGGCUGCCUAAGGAGGGAUGGGCUGGCCCAGGUUGGAAAUAGAGCAGGUCAAAACUCCUGUGCUGAUCAGUAACAGGAUCUCACCUGUGAAUAGCCACUACAUGCCAGUCUGGGCAACAUAGUGAGACCCCAUCUCUU